UCUGGGUUUAUCCCAGCGGUCCCGUCAGAGAAAUAUAACUGACGGCGAGGGUUGCGCUCGUUGCGGGACUUAACCCAACACCUCACGGCACGAGCUGACGACAGCCAUGCAGCACCUGUCUAGGUUCCCGGACUUUACGGGUCGUUCCCCUUUCAGUUCACUACUUCCUAGAUGUCAAGCCCAGGUAAGGUUCUUCGCGUUGCGUCGAAUUGAGCCACAUGCUCCGCCGCUUGUGCGGGUCCCCGUCAAUUCCUUUGAGUUUUAGCCUUGCGGCCGUACUCCCCAGGCGGGGCGCUUAAUGCGUUAGCUUCGGCACAGAAGGGGUCGAUACCCCCCACACCUAGCGCCCAUCGUUUACGGCUGGGACUAC
RNAcentral lists this unclassified non-coding RNA (370 nucleotides) under uncultured bacterium. Its description in RNAcentral is "contains 16S-23S intergenic spacer region". The record is from RNAcentral.